AGCGAACGCUGGCGGCGUGCCUAACACAUGCAAGUCGAACGUGAAAAGGGAAACCUGAGUAAAGUGGCGUACGGGUGAGUAACGCGUAGGUAAUCUACCCCAGAAUCUGGAAUAACCUGCCGAAAGGCGGGCUAAUACUGGAUAGAGCGAGGGAACUCGUAAGAGAGUUUUUCGGGAAAGGGAGCCCGCAAGGGCCUUCGUUCUGGGAUGAGCCUGCGUUUCAUUAGCUAGUUGGUAAGGUAACGGCUUACCAAGGCGAUGAUGAGUAGCUGGUCUGAGAGGAGGAGAAGCCAAGCUGGAACUGAAACACGGUCCAGCAUCCUGGGGGUGGGAGCAGUGGGGAAUUCUGCGGAAUGGAAGAAAGUCUGACGCAGCCACGCCGCGUGAGAGAAGAAGGUCUCCGGGUUGUAAAGCUCUGGCGGAUGGGACGAUCAUCUUGAUAGUGAAUAGCUAUAAGGACUGACGGUACCAGCAAAGGAAGCACCGGCUAACUCCGUG
Molecule: ribosomal RNA, 498 nt
Filed under: uncultured bacterium
Lineage: Bacteria
Description: partial 16S ribosomal RNA
Rfam family: Bacterial small subunit ribosomal RNA
Source: RNAcentral